CUUAUGACCUGGGCUACACACGUGCUACAAUGGACAGAACAAAGGGCUGCGAGACCGCAAGGUUUAGCCAAUCCCAUAAAUCUGUUCUCAGUUCGGAUCGCAGUCUGCAACUCGACUGCGUGAAGCUGGAAUCGCUAGUAAUCGCGGAUCAGCAUGCCGCGGUGAAUACGUUCCCGGGCCUUGUACACACCGCCCGUCACACCACGAGAGUUUGCAACACCCGAAGUCGGUGAGGUAACCUUUAUGGAGCCAGCCGCCGAAGGUGGGGCAGAUGAUUGGGGUGAAGUCGUAACAAG
Molecule: ribosomal RNA, 296 nt
Filed under: Bacillus pumilus
Lineage: Bacteria; Bacillati; Bacillota; Bacilli; Caryophanales; Bacillaceae
Description: partial 16S ribosomal RNA
Rfam family: Bacterial small subunit ribosomal RNA
Source: RNAcentral